This 224-nucleotide unclassified non-coding RNA is filed under the name plant metagenome. RNAcentral's name for it is "partial contains small subunit ribosomal RNA, internal transcribed spacer 1, and 5.8S ribosomal RNA". The record is from RNAcentral.
UUUCCGUAGGUGAACCUGCGGAAGGAUCAUUACAGAGUUCAAGCCCGAAAGGGUCGACCUCCCACCCUUGUGUAUUAUUACUUUUGUGCUCUGGCGAGCUGCCUUUGGGCUUCGGGCUGUCAAGCUUGAGUACGCUCAGCAGUGGUUACUAAACCUCUUUUUAUUAAUGUCGACUGAGUACUAUAUAAUAGUUAAAACUUUCAACAACGGAUCUCUUGGUUCUG